RNAcentral lists this small nuclear RNA (311 nucleotides) under Spermophilus dauricus (Daurian ground squirrel). RNAcentral describes it as "7SK RNA (ENSSDAG00000003703.1)". It matches the Rfam family "7SK RNA". From Rfam's summary of the family: 7SK was discovered as an abundant small nuclear RNA in the mid-70s but a possible function has only recently been suggested. Two independent studies have found that 7SK RNA binds the CDK9/cyclin T complex (known as elongation factor P-TEFb). Lineage: Eukaryota; Metazoa; Chordata; Mammalia; Rodentia; Sciuridae. The record is from RNAcentral.
GAAUGUGAGGGUGAUCUGGCUGCAACAUCUGCCUCCCCACUGAUCACCAGGGUUGAUUCAGCUGAUCUGAAUGGCUAGGGGGGUGUCUCCUUCCUCCCUCACCGCUCCACAUGCAUCCCUCCCGAAGCUUCAUGAUAGAGGAGCUUCCCCAGUAGAAGAGGGCCAUUCUUCCAUCAAGGUAUAGGGGUAGCUGCACUCCCCUGUAAGAACCUCCAAACAAGCUCUCAAAGUAUAUAGUUUAUCUGUAGUAUUACAAUUUCAUGGGUGCUGGGGUAUAGCUCAGGGGUUGAGGAUGUGCUUAGCAUUUGUGA